ACACAUGCAAGUCGAACGGUGAACACGGAGCUUGCUCUGUGGGAUCAGUGGCGAACGGGUGAGUAACACGUGAGCAACCUGCCCCUGACUCUGGGAUAAGCGCUGGAAACGGCGUCUAAUACUGGAUAUGUGACGUGACCGCAUGGUCUGCGUCUGGAAAGAAUUUCGGUUGGGGAUGGGCUCGCGGCCUAUCAGCUUGUUGGUGAGGUAAUGGCUCACCAAGGCGUCGACGGGUAGCCGGCCUGAGAGGGUGACCGGCCACACUGGGACUGAGACACGGCCCAGACUCCUACGGGAGGCAGCAGUGGGGAAUAUUGCACAAUGGGCGCAAGCCUGAUGCAGCAACGCCGCGUGAGGGACGACGGCCUUCGGGUUGUAAACCUCUUUUAGCAGGGAAGAAGCGAAAGUGACGGUACCUGCAGAAAAAGCGCCGGCUAACUACGUGCCAGCAGCCGCGGUAAUACGUAGGGCGCAAGCGUUAUCCGGAAUUAUUGGGCGUAAAGAGCUCGUAGGCGGUUUGUCGCGUCUGCUGUGAAAUCCGGAGGCUCAACCUCCGGCCUGCAGUGGGUACGGGCAGACUAGAGUGCGGUAGGGGAGAUUGGAAUUCCUGGUGUAGCGGUGGAAUGCGCAGAUAUCAGGAGGAACACCGAUGGCGAAGGCAGAUCUCUGGGCCGUAACUGACGCUGAGGAGCGAAAGGGUGGGGAGCAAACAGGCUUAGAUACCCUGGUAGUCCACCCCGUAAA
RNAcentral lists this ribosomal RNA (744 nucleotides) under Microbacterium sp. AD-C8. RNAcentral describes it as "bacterial SSU rRNA". It matches the Rfam family "Bacterial small subunit ribosomal RNA", at positions 51 to 806 of the family's 1533-position model. Lineage: Bacteria; Bacillati; Actinomycetota; Actinomycetes; Micrococcales; Microbacteriaceae. The record is from RNAcentral.